GACGAACGCUGGCGGCGUGCUUAACACAUGCAAGUCGAACGAAGUGGCGAACGGGUGAGUAACGCGUAAUCAACCUGCCCUUCAGAGGGGGACAACAGUUGGAAACGACUGCUAAUACCGCAUACUGAAGGAGGGGAUUGCGUCUGAUUGGCUAGUUGGAGGGGUAACGGCCCACCAAGGCGAUGAUCAGUAGCCGGUUUGUGAGAAUGACCGGCCACAUUGGGACUGGGACACGGCCCAGACUCCUACGGGAGGCAGCAGUGGGAAUUCUUCCGCAAUGGAGGAAGGUCGGACGGAGCAACGCCGCGGGAGUGAUGACGGCCUUCGGGUUGUAAGGCUCUGUUAAUCGGGACGCGGUACCGGAAUAGAAAGCCACGGCUAACUACGUGCCAGCAGCCGCGGUAAUU
This 407-nucleotide ribosomal RNA is filed under the name uncultured bacterium. RNAcentral describes it as "partial 16S ribosomal RNA". It matches the Rfam family "Bacterial small subunit ribosomal RNA", at positions 28 to 525 of the family's 1533-position model. The record is from RNAcentral.